GGAGAUGUGGCUCAGCCAUAGAGUGUUUGCCUGGUAAGCAUGAGGCUAUGAGUUCAAAUCUCAGUAUAGCCA
RNAcentral lists this transfer RNA (72 nucleotides) under Dipodomys ordii (Ord's kangaroo rat). It matches the Rfam family "tRNA". Rfam says of the family: Transfer RNA (tRNA) molecules are approximately 80 nucleotides in length. Their secondary structure includes four short double-helical elements and three loops (D, anti-codon, and T loops). The record is from Rfam by way of RNAcentral. Lineage: Eukaryota; Metazoa; Chordata; Mammalia; Rodentia; Heteromyidae.